This 253-nucleotide ribosomal RNA is filed under the name uncultured bacterium. RNAcentral's name for it is "partial 16S ribosomal RNA". It matches the Rfam family "Bacterial small subunit ribosomal RNA", at positions 524 to 776 of the family's 1533-position model. The record is from RNAcentral.
GACAGAGGGUGCAAACGUUGUUCGGAAUUACUGGGCGUAAAGCGAGUGUAGGCGGUCUCAUAAGUCGGGUGUGAAAGCCCCGGGCUCAACCCGGGAAGUGCACUCGAAACUGCGAGGCUAGAGUAUCGGAGAGGUUGGUGGAAUUCUCGGUGUAGAGGUGAAAUUCGUAGAUAUCGAGAGGAACACCGGUGGCGAAGGCGGCCAACUGGACGAAUACUGACGCUGAGACUCGAAAGCGUGGGGAGCAAACAGG